Molecule: ribosomal RNA, 504 nt
Filed under: uncultured bacterium
Lineage: Bacteria
Description: partial 16S ribosomal RNA
Rfam family: Bacterial small subunit ribosomal RNA
Source: RNAcentral
AUUGAACGCUGGCGGCAUGCCUUACACAUGCAAGUCGAACGGCAGCAUGGAGAGCUUGCUCUCUGAUGGCGAGUGGCGAACGGGUGAGUAAAGCAUCGGAACGUACCGUGUAGUGGGGGAUAACGUAGCGAAAGUUACGCUAAUACCGCAUACGCACUGAGGUGGAAAGCAGGGGAUCGUAAGACCUUGCGCUAUACGAGCGGCCGAUGUCAGAUUAGCUAGUUGGUAGGGUAAAGGCCUACCAAGGCGACGAUCUGUAGCGGGUCUGAGAGGAUGGUCCGGCAAACUGGGACUGAGACACGGCCCAGAAUCCUACGGGAGGCAGCAGUGGGGAAUUUUGGACAAUGGGGGCAACCCUGAUCCAGCCAUGCCGCGUGAGUGAAGAAGGCCUUCGGGUUGUAAAGCUCUUUCGGCCGGGAAGAAAUCGCACAGGCUAAUACCCUGUGUGGAUGACGGUACCGGCAUAAGAAGCACCGGCUAACUACGUGCCAGCAGCCGCCGCGG